UAUAUUCUGGUGUAAGGUGCACAUGAACUUUUGAUGUUUUUGGUAUUAGUUUAAUUCUAUUGGAUGUAA
Molecule: transfer RNA, 69 nt
Filed under: Anaplecta sp. 5 ZQW-2020
Lineage: Eukaryota; Metazoa; Arthropoda; Insecta; Blattodea; Anaplectidae
Description: tRNA-Gln
Source: RNAcentral